This 248-nucleotide long non-coding RNA is filed under the name Bos taurus (domestic cattle). Its description in RNAcentral is "long non-coding RNA NONBTAT012812". Lineage: Eukaryota; Metazoa; Chordata; Mammalia; Artiodactyla; Bovidae. The record is from RNAcentral.
GAAACUGUAAGGGCGUCUUCAUAGAGAAAUUAGUGUCCUUCUGUUUUGUCAGUGUAGCAGGGCCCUUUUUACAUUCAGAAAAUUUUCUUUAAACUCCCAAACCUUUGGGAGGCGAGUUCCAUUAUGUUAAAACAAAAACAGUCGCUUCCUUUCAGACUUGUCGACAGUCUCAUAAAUUAGCGAGAAGAAUCUGAAUCUUAACUCUCAAAAACGAGGAAUAUAUUUCAAAAACAAGGACUGACGUCUCU